This 433-nucleotide ribosomal RNA is filed under the name uncultured bacterium. RNAcentral describes it as "partial 16S ribosomal RNA". It matches the Rfam family "Bacterial small subunit ribosomal RNA", at positions 29 to 507 of the family's 1533-position model. The record is from RNAcentral.
AACGAACGCUGGCGGCAUGCCUAACACAUGCAAGUCGAACGAGACCUUCGGGUCUAGUGGCGCACGGGUGCGUAACGCGUGGGAACCUGCCCUUAGGUUCGGAAUAACUCCCCGAAAGGGGUGCUAAUACUGGAUAAUGUCUUCGGACCAAAGAUUUAUCGCCUUUGGAUGGGCCCGCGUUGGAUUAGCUAGUUGGUAGGGUAAAAGCCUACCAAGGCGACGAUCCAUAGCUGGUCUGAGAGGAUGAUCAGCCACACUGGGACUGAGACACGGCCCAGACUCCUACGGGAGGCAGCAGUGGGGAAUAUUGUACAAUGGGCGAAAGCCUGAGCCGGCAAUGCCGCGUGAGUGAUGAAGGCCUUAGGGUUGUAAAGCUCUUUUACCCGGGAUGAUAAUGACAGUACCGGGAGAAUAAGCUCCGGCUAACUCCGUG